This 252-nucleotide ribosomal RNA is filed under the name uncultured bacterium. RNAcentral describes it as "partial 16S ribosomal RNA". It matches the Rfam family "Bacterial small subunit ribosomal RNA", at positions 524 to 776 of the family's 1533-position model. The record is from RNAcentral.
UACGGAGGAUGCGAGCGUUAUCCGGAUUUAUUGGGUUUAAAGGGUGCGUAGGCGGGAUGCCAAGUCAGCGGUAAAAAUGCGGUGCUCAACGCCGUCGAGCCGUUGAAACUGGCGUUCUUGAGUGGGCGAGAAGUAUGCGGAAUGCGUGGUGUAGCGGUGAAAUGCAUAGAUAUCACGCAGAAUUCCGAUUGCGAAGGCAGCAUACCGGCGCCCUACUGACGCUGAGGCACGAAAGCGUGGGUAUCGAACAGG